GAUCCUGGCUCAGGAUGAACGCUAGCGGCAGGCCUAACACAUGCAAGUCGAGGGGCAGCGGGAUUGAAGCUUGCUUCAAUUGCCGGCGACCGGCGCACGGGUGCGUAACGCGUAUGCAACCUACCCAUAACAGGGGAGUAACACUGAGAAAUAGGUACUAAUAUCCACUAACAUCAUGAGGGGCGAUCCCUUUUCGGUUUGUAAACGUACCGGUCGGUUAGUUGGUAGUGGGCGAGUGCGUUGUAUUAGUCUUGG
Molecule: ribosomal RNA, 255 nt
Filed under: uncultured bacterium
Lineage: Bacteria
Description: partial 16S ribosomal RNA
Rfam family: Bacterial small subunit ribosomal RNA
Source: RNAcentral